GUUUAAGAUUGGAUUUAUGCCCAUUUUGAGUAAAUCCUCACCCUCCUUGGUUUAGCUUCGGCUGAUCUCAGUUGGUUCUUGUUAAAACCAAAAUAUCCUCACCUGCAGCCCACGAGGAUUACUUUGCUUCAUCGUUGUAUUCUAACAACCCUGGGAUGUUGGAUUGAUUACUGACGCCAUUUGAGAGAUGAGGAAAUAAAUUCUCAUACAAAUGAAGUGGUUUGUCCUGAGUCAGAGAGUUAGAAAACUUCAGAGGCGAGAUUUGCACCUGUAGUCCUAAGCCAGUGUUGAGGCUGAAGGAGACGGUAUUCCUGGUUAGAUUACAUCAUUACCACAAGAGAGGCUUGAGUUCUGAGGAUGACGGUUUUAUAGCCCGUAGACCCCCACAACUGGAGCCAUCUGGACUUCUGGAAGCCUGGGGAGGUUGAUGUGUGAAGCACCUACGAGUGCCUCGUGGAAUACUACGAGCAUGUGAACACCCCACGGCAGAGAAUUCCGGAUUGCCACAGGGAAAGGCGACUAGGCUUCCUAGAUGGCAAAUUUGCCCUGAUUCCCAGCCUGCUGCCUGCAUUAGUCAAGGUUCUCCAGAGAAACAGAACCGAAGAGAGAGACAGACAUGUUAUAAGGGAUCGACUUAAUUUCAGAAGCUUUGAAUCUCAAGGUCUGCAGUUAAAGAGCUGGACACUCAGGAGAGCUGAUGGUAUAAGGUCCAGUCUGAGGCUGAAGGCAGAAGACAGACAUGGUGUCCUAGCUGGAAGACACUCAGGCAGAGAGUGACUUCUCCCUUAGGCCACCUUCUCAUGUCGUAUCUCCUUCUCUGACGCUGACCCUCCCACCUCCCUCUUCUAAGGACCCUUGUGAUAAAGUUGUGCCCACUGGAUAACCCCAGGUUGUCUGGGGAAGAUGUAGAUGAUCCAGUCAAAGCCCAUGCCUUUCCUGGGUCAUUCAGGGGAUGCAGGGAACUGUUGUUGACCCCGUGUACGAGGAGGCAUGUUAGGUUCUUUGAAAUCGACAUUGAGCACCCUCCCCGAUGCAGCACUCCCUUCCCCAUCAUUCUGCAUCAGCAAGCCAUCUGUGCCGUUCAAAUAUUGUUCAAAUGUAAUAUUUCUGAAACUAUUUUUAA
Molecule: long non-coding RNA, 1123 nt
Organism: Bos taurus (domestic cattle)
Lineage: Eukaryota; Metazoa; Chordata; Mammalia; Artiodactyla; Bovidae
Source: Ensembl